CAUUGCGCUCUUGUGUUGUCGUUCCAAACCCAAAGCACAAGAGGUCUUCUCUAGACACCAUCCCUAAAUGGCCAGAGCGGUUGCAUGUUGCACCAGAACGUAUAUCUGAUGUUCAUGGUGGGAGUGCUAGUGCUUUGAAGCAUGAUGAUGGCAAAUGGAAGAAACGGUUGCAGCACUACAAGAAGUUGCUUCCAGCACUUGGGACAGAUAAGAUCAGAAAUGUUAUGGACAUGAAUACCGUGUAUGGAGGGCUUGCUGCAGCCUCAAUUGACGAUCCCUUGUGGGUCAUGAAUGUGGUUUCUUCCUACGCUACAAACACACUGCCUGUGGUCUAUGAUCGGGGUCUUAUUGGGACUUUCCAUGAUUGGUAAGUUUAAAUUGAUUUAUAAUCAUUGAGGCUUUGAUGUGCAUGAAUAGCAUACUUUUGAAUUCCCCUCAUUUGGCCAUCUAGUAGUCUUUUGUGUUGAUUUUAUGGUUUUCUGGUUCGCAGGUGCGAAGCUUUCUCUACAUAUCCCCGAACUUACGAUCUUCUACAUCUUGAUGGCCUGUUUACUGCAGAAAGCCACAGGUAACAGAUGGAUUAUCCAUGUCUAUUUUCUUUUAUGUAGUGUUGAGAUCUGUUGAUGAUUGAUUACUGUUAGCCUUCACUGAUGAUUCUAAUGGAUUGUACAUUGCACAGAUGCGAAAUGAAGUACGUGCUCCUGGAGAUGGACCGCAUCCUGCGCCCCAAUGGCUAUGCAAUAAUUAGAGAAUCCAGCUACUUUGUGGAUGCUGUUGCAACUAUUGCCAAGGGGAUGAGAUGGGGAUGUCGUAAAGAAGAUACAGAGUAUGGUAUUGAUAAGGAAAAAAUAUUGAUCUGCCAGAAAAAGCUCUGGUAUUCAUCUAACCAGAAUUCUAGAUGAUGAACAUAGAAAACCCAAAAACCAAGUCAAUCUCUUGGAGGGCCGGGAAAUAGGGAUAGAAGAAGCGGAAGAAGCAAGUGCAAUACCAUUCACAUUCACAGAGAAAUUUUACUUCAUUCUAUAAGAAGCCAUGGAUACUCG
RNAcentral lists this long non-coding RNA (1043 nucleotides) under Fragaria vesca (wild strawberry). RNAcentral describes it as "long non-coding RNA (FVES_LNC002494)". The record is from RNAcentral. Lineage: Eukaryota; Viridiplantae; Streptophyta; Magnoliopsida; Rosales; Rosaceae.